This 1953-nucleotide ribosomal RNA is filed under the name gut metagenome. RNAcentral describes it as "bacterial LSU rRNA". It matches the Rfam family "Bacterial large subunit ribosomal RNA", at positions 166 to 2047 of the family's 2925-position model. The record is from RNAcentral.
AUAGUCCUGGAGGAGGCAACCCGGGGAACUGAAACAUCUAAGUACCCGGAGGAAGAGAAAUCAACCGAGAUCGCGCUAGUAGCGGCGAGCGAACGCGCGCGAUGCCCAAACCGCAGGCUCCGUCACAGGCUGGGGCCGCUGGACCUGCGGUGUUGCGGGGGGAGGCGUCCGGGGGCUCCCAGGCCCCGGGUGCGGUGACAAAUCUCGGCGGCAGCCGAACGGCCUGGGAAGGCCGGCGGCACAGGGUGAGAGCCCCGUAGGCGAAGCCGCCGCGACCGCACGCUCCUCCUUCCCGAGUAGGGCCGGCCACGAGGAAUCCGGCCCGAAGCCGGGGGGACCACCCUCCAAGGCUGAACACUCUCCUGCGACCGAUAGCGAACCAGUACCGUGAGGGAAAGGUGAAAAGCACCCCGAGAGGGGAGUGAAACAGCACCUGAAACCGCGCGCCCCCGAGCAGUCGGAGCGGCCAUCACGGCCGUGACGGCGUGCCUUUUGUAGAAUGAGCCAGCGAGUCGCGGUCGGCGGCGAGGCCAAGCCUCGAAGCGAGCCGGAGCGAAAGCGAGUCUGAACAGGGCGUUCAGUCGUCGGCCGCGGACGCGAAGCCGGGUGAGCUAUCCUUGGGCAGGCUGAAGCGGGGGUAAGACCCCGUGGAGGGCCGAACCCACCUGGGUUGAAAACCGGGGGGAUGACCCGAGGAUAGGGGUGAAAGGCCAAUCAAACCCGGAGAUAUCUCGUUCUCCCCGAAAUAGCUUUAGGGCUAGCCUCGUCCGACAGACCCCGGUGGUAGAGCACCGGAUCGCCUAGGGGGCCUCACCGCCUGCCGAAGCGAGCCGAACUCCGAAUGCCGGGGCCCCAGGGGACGGGAGCCAGAAGGCGUGGGCUAAGCUGCGCCUUCGAGAGGGAAACAGCCCAGACCGCCCGCCAAGGCCCCCAAGUCCGUGCCGAGUGGCAAAGGAUGUGCGCUCGCCCAGACAGCCAGGAUGUUGGCUUAGAAGCAGCCAUGCAUUCAAAGAGUGCGUAACAGCUCACUGGUCGAGUGGGAGCGCGCCGACAAUACACGGGGCUAAGCACGGCGCCGAAGCGGCGGGCCGGAGACGACCGUCUCCGGCGGUAGGGGAGCGUCGCCCGCGGGGCGAAGCCGGAGGGGGGACCCCCGGUGGACCGCGGGCGAGCGAGGAUGCUGGCAUGAGUAGCGAGAGCGGCGCGAGAAACGCCGCCGCCGCAAGCCCAAGGUUUCCUGGGCGAGGCUAAUCCCCCCAGGGUCAGUCGGGGGCUAAGGCGAGGCCGGAAGGCGUAGCCGAUGCGCAACGGGCGGACAUUCCCGUACCGCCCGCGCAGCGUUCGAGCCCGAGCGGUGACGGGGAAGGGCAGGCAUGCGGGGUUCUGGACGCCCCCGUGAAAGCGUGUAGGCCGUCCGGCAGUGAAGCACACCGGGCGCGUGGCCGAGACGCGAGACGAAGCGCGAAGCGCGAAGAUGCCGCACCCAUGCCCCCUAGAAAAACCGCGCGGGCGAUGCUCCGCGGGCGCCCGUACCAAAACCGACACAGGUGGGCGGGUAGAGCAUACCGAGGCGAUCGGGGGAACCGUGGUCAAGGAACUCGGCAUAAUGGCCCCGCAACUUCGGGAGAAGGGGUGCCGCUGGGGGUGGAGGGACUCGCUCCCCGAGCCCCCGGCGGCCGCAGCGAAUAGGCCCAAGCGACUGUUUACCAAAAACACAGGACUCUGCCAAGCCGCGAGGCGAAGUAUAGGGUCUGACGCCUGCCCGGUGCCGGAAGGUUACGCGGAAGCGUCAGGGGGCCCGCCCCCGAAGCGCCGAAGCCAAGCCCCGGUAAACGGCGGCCGUAACUAUAACGGUCCUAAGGUAGCGAAAUUCCUUGUCGGGUAAGUUCCGACCUGCACGAACGGCGUAACGACUUGGGCGCUGUCUCGACCGCGGUCCCGGUGAAAUUGCAU